This 1287-nucleotide ribosomal RNA is filed under the name metagenome. Its description in RNAcentral is "bacterial SSU rRNA". It matches the Rfam family "Bacterial small subunit ribosomal RNA", at positions 242 to 1520 of the family's 1533-position model. The record is from RNAcentral.
UAGCUAGUUGGUGAGGUAAAGGCUUACCAAGGCGACGAUCUGUAGCGGGUCUGAGAGGAUGAUCCGCCACACUGGAACUGAGACACGGUCCAGACUCCUACGGGAGGCAGCAGUGGGGAAUUCUGGACAAUGGGGGCAACCCUGAUCCAGCCAUGCCGCGUGAGUGAAGAAGGCCUUCGGGUUGUAAAGCUCUUUCGGCCGGGAAGAAAUCGCAUGGGUCAAUACCCUGUGUGGAUGACGGUACCGGAAUAAGAAGCACCGGCUAACUACGUGCCAGCAGCCGCGGUAAUACGUAGGGUGCGAGCGUUAAUCGGAAUUACUGGGCGUAAAGCGUGCGCAGGCGGUUUUGUAAGACAGGCGUGAAAUCCCCGGGCUUAACCUGGGAACUGCGUUUGUGACUGCAAGGCUAGAGUACGGCAGAGGGGGGUGGAAUUCCACGUGUAGCAGUGAAAUGCGUAGAGAUGUGGAGGAACACCAAUGGCGAAGGCAGCCCCCUGGGUCGAUACUGACGCUCAUGCACGAAAGCGUGGGUAGCAAACAGGAUUAGAUACCCUGGUAGUCCACGCCCUAAACUAUGUCAACUAGGUGUUGGGUGGGUAAAACCAUUUAGUACCGUAGCUAACGCGAGAAGUUGACCGCCUGGGGAGUACGGCCGCAAGGUUAAAACUCAAAGGAAUUGACGGGGACCCGCACAAGCGGUGGAUGAUGUGGAUUAAUUCGAUGCAACGCGAAAAACCUUACCUACCCUUGACAUGCCAGGAACUUGCCAGAGAUGGCUCGGUGCCCGAAAGGGAGCCUGGACACAGGUGCUGCAUGGCUGUCGUCAGCUCGUGUCGUGAGAUGUUGGGUUAAGUCCCGCAACGAGCGCAACCCUUGUCGUUAAUUGCCAUCAUUUGGUUGGGCACUUUAACGAGACUGCCGGUGACAAACCGGAGGAAGGUGGGGAUGACGUCAAGUCCUCAUGGCCCUUAUGGGUAGGGCUUCACACGUCAUACAAUGGUCGGUACAAAGGGUUGCCAAGCCGCGAGGCGGAGCCAAUCCCAGAAAGCCGAUCGUAGUCCGGAUUGCAGGCUGCAACUCGCCUGCAUGAAGUCGGAAUCGCUAGUAAUCGUGGAUCAGCAUGUCACGGUGAAUACGUUCCCGGGUCUUGUACACACCGCCCGUCACACCAUGGGAGCGGGUUCCGCCAGAAGUAGGUAGCCUAACCGCAAGGGGGGCGCUUACCACGGCGGGGUUCGUGACUGGGGUGAAGUCGGAACAAGGUAGCCGUAGGGGAACCUGCGGCUG